Non-coding RNA from Ictidomys tridecemlineatus (thirteen-lined ground squirrel), 73 nucleotides. NCBI's taxonomy places the organism in Eukaryota, Metazoa, Chordata, Mammalia, Rodentia, Sciuridae. The record is from Rfam.
GGGGAUAUAGCUCUAUUGGUAGAGUGCUUGCCUUGCAUGCACAAGGCCCUGGGUUCCAUCCCCAGCACCACCA